RNAcentral lists this ribosomal RNA (1689 nucleotides) under bioreactor metagenome. Its description in RNAcentral is "bacterial LSU rRNA". It matches the Rfam family "Bacterial large subunit ribosomal RNA", at positions 510 to 2216 of the family's 2925-position model. The record is from RNAcentral.
AAAGGUGAAAAGGACCCCGGGAGGGGAGUGAAAGAGAACCUGAAACCGUGGACCUGCAAGCGGUCAGAGCCCGAGAGGGUGAUGGCGUGCCUUUUGUAGAAUGAGCCUGCGAGUCACCGUGUGCGGCGAGGUUAAGGGAUAGGAGUCCCGGAGCCGCAGGGAAACCGAGUCUGAAGAGGGCGCAUAGUCGCAUGCGGUGGACCCGAAGCCAAGUGAUCUAGCCAUGGCCAGGCUGAAGCUGCAGUGAAAUGCAGUGGAGGGCCGAACCUAAAUCCGCUGAAAAGGGUUGGGAUGAGCUGUGGCUCGGAGUGAAAGGCUAAUCAAACUUGGAGAUAGCUGGUACUCUCCGAAAUAGCUUUAGGGCUAGCGUCGCCUGUAUUGUCGCGGAGGUAGAGCACUGGAUAGGUGAGGGCCCGUCACUGGGUACCGAUCUUAACCAAACUCCGAAUGCCGCGACACGUUGGGCGGCAGUCAGACGGCGGCUGACAAGGGCCGUCGUCGAGAGGGAAACAGCCCGGACCGCCGGCUAAGGUCCCCAAGGCGCGCUGAGUGGGAAAGGAAGUACGAUUGCACAGACAGCCAGGAGGUUGGCUCAGAAGCAGCCACCCCUUCAAAGAGUGCGUAACAGCUCACUGGUCGAGUAGUCGUGCGCCGAUAAUGUAACGGGGCUAAGCGCGCCACCGAAGCCGCGGGACGCAGACGAGGUCUGCGUCGGUAGGAGAGCAUUGCGUAUGCGGACGAAGCGGGACCCGCGAGGGCCCGUGGACGCGGCGCAAGAGAGAAUGCAGGCAUGAGUAACGAAAAGACGGGUGGGAUCCCCGUCCGCCUGAAGCCCGAGGUUUCCAGGGUAAAGGUAAUCUGCCCGAGGGUCAGUCGGCCCCUAAGGCGAGGGCGAGAGCCGUAGCCGAUGGGAAGCGGGUCAACAUUCCCGCACCUCCCGGAGAUUCGACGGGACGACGCAUAGGGCGAAGCGCAGCCGGGCGAUGGUAGUCCCGGCCGAAACGGCGAGCCGAAGAGGGGCCCAGGCAAAUCCGGGACCUGAGGCGAGCCGCGAGCGAGGCCCCCCACGGGGGGAGGAAGUGCGCCGAGUCGUCGUGCCGAGAAAUAGUCCCUAAGGUUCGUCUCCGGGGGACCGUACCGCAAACCGACACAGGUGGGCGAGCUGAGAAUGCGCAGGCGCUCGGAAGAAUCCGCGUUAAGGAACUCGGCAAAAUGCAUACGUAACUUCGGGAUAAGUAUGGCCCUUCGGGGCUGCAGAGAAAUGGCCCAUGCGACUGUUUACCAAAAACACAGGUCCAUGCGAACCGGCAACGGGAAGUAUAUGGACUGACACCUGCCCGGUGCUGGAAGGUCAAGGGGAGCCGUCAGGCAACGAAGCGGCGAACCCAAGCCCCAGUAAACGGCGGCCGUAACUAUAACGGUCCUAAGGUAGCGAAAUUCCUUGUCGGGUAAGUUCCGACCCGCACGAAUGGUGCAACGACAUGGGCGCUGUCUCAACGUGGAAUCCGGUGAAAUUGAAGUCCAGGUGAAGAUGCCUGGUACCCGUGGUCAGACGGAAAGACCCCGUGAACCUUUACUUCACCCCGGCAUUGGGAGCUGGGCAGGGAUGUGUAGGAUAGGUGGGAGGCAUUGAGGCGUGGGCGUCAGCCUGCGCGGAGCCGACGGUGAAAUACCACCCUUGCCUGUCCA